Molecule: ribosomal RNA, 514 nt
Filed under: Borreliella bissettiae
Lineage: Bacteria; Pseudomonadati; Spirochaetota; Spirochaetia; Spirochaetales; Borreliaceae
Description: bacterial SSU rRNA
Rfam family: Bacterial small subunit ribosomal RNA
Source: RNAcentral
GCCUUAGAACUAACGCUGGCAGUGCGUCUUAAGCAUGCAAGUCAAACGGGAUGUAGCAAUACAUUCAGUGGCGAACGGGUGAGUAACGCGUGGAUGAUCUACCUAUGAGAUGGGGAUAACUAUUAGAAAUAGUAGCUAAUACCGAAUAAAGUCAAUUAAUUUGUUAAUUGAUGAAAGGAAGCCUUUAAAGCUUCGCUUGUAGAUGAGUCUGCGUCUUAUUAGCUAGUUGGUAGGGUAAAUGCCUACCAAGGCGAUGAUAAGUAACCGGCGUGAGAGGGUGAACGGUCACACUGGAACUGAGAUACGGUCCAGACUCCUACGGGAGGCAGCAGCUAAGAAUCUUCCGCAAUGGGCGAAAGCCUGACGGAGCGACACUGCGUGAAUGAAGAAGGUCGAAAGAUUGUAAAAUUCUUUUAUAAAUGAGGAAUAAGCUUUGUAGGAAAUGACAAAGUGAUGACGUUAAUUUAUGAAUAAGCCCCGGCUAAUUACGUGCCAGCAGCCGCGGUAAUACGUA